GUAUGGUGCAAGCGUUGUUCGGAAUCACUGGGCGUAAAGGGUGCGCAGGCGGACUGUUAAGUCGGGAGUGAAAACUGAGGGCUCAACCCUCAGCCUGCUUUCGAAACUGGCAGUCUGGAGUCCCGGAGAGGCAGGCGGAAUUCCCGGUGUAGCGGUGAAAUGCACAGAUAUCGGGAGGAACACCAAUGGCGAAGGCAGCCUGCUGGACGGAGACUGACGCUCAUGCACGAAAGCGUGGGGAUCAAACAGGAUUAGAUACCCUGGUAGUCCACGCCCUAAACGUUGUAGACCAGACGUUGGAGGCAUCAACCCCUUCAGUGUCAAACCAAACGGAUUAAGUCUACCGCCUGGGGACUAUGCUCGCAAGAGUG
Molecule: ribosomal RNA, 371 nt
Filed under: uncultured bacterium
Lineage: Bacteria
Description: bacterial SSU rRNA
Rfam family: Bacterial small subunit ribosomal RNA
Source: RNAcentral